RNAcentral lists this long non-coding RNA (435 nucleotides) under Parus major (Great Tit). RNAcentral describes it as "lncRNA (ENSPMJG00000015087.1)". Lineage: Eukaryota; Metazoa; Chordata; Aves; Passeriformes; Paridae. The record is from RNAcentral.
AGAACUUUCAGGCUGCCUUCAGCAACAGCAAGAGCUCUGGAACAGAUACACUACUUGUAAGACUGACCAAGAGAGCGAGGCUGGCAUCCUGGCAGCACCUGGGACUUUGGCUUCAUUUCUUAAGCAGACCCUUGGUCCCUUGGAGAAGGUCAGCAGCAAGGAGCCUUCUCUGGCUGGCUUUUCUGUGCAGACACAAGGCAAGUGGCCAGCUACUGGUGUGAUGCCUACGUAGCACCAGACCAUUGAGAUGUGGCACAGGAUUCCUGAGGUGAUGGGCUGAAUCGCGAGAGUGGAGUGGUGCUGGAUGGUGAGAGGCUUUCUCUGCUUAUACAGCUAAUAGACUAAUGAGCAAGGAGUUUGAAACUUGGCUGUGUUUGUUGUCAAAUGCAGGCCCCUUUCCAAGUGGUGUUAACAGCCUUCCCUUUUCACUCUGCG